This 726-nucleotide ribosomal RNA is filed under the name Rhizobium sp. LR6. RNAcentral describes it as "bacterial SSU rRNA". It matches the Rfam family "Bacterial small subunit ribosomal RNA", at positions 57 to 838 of the family's 1533-position model. Lineage: Bacteria; Pseudomonadati; Pseudomonadota; Alphaproteobacteria; Hyphomicrobiales; Rhizobiaceae. The record is from RNAcentral.
GAGAGUCGCACGCCCCGUAGGAGAGUGGCAGACGGGUGAGUAACGCGUGGUACAUACCCUUUCCUGCGGAAUAGCUCCGGGAAACUGGAAUUAAUACCGCAUACGCCCUACGGGGGAAAGAUUUAUCGGGGAAGGAUUGGCCCGCGUUGGAUUAGCUAGUUGGUGGGGUAAAGGCCUACCAAGGCGACGAUCCAUAGCUGGUCUGAGAGGAUGAUCAGCCACAUUGGGACUGAGACACGGCCCAAACUCCUACGGGAGGCAGCAGUGGGGAAUAUUGGACAAUGGGCGCAAGCCUGAUCCAGCCAUGCCGCGUGAGUGAUGAAGGCCUUAGGGUUGUAAAGCUCUUUCACCGGAGAAGAUAAUGACGGUAUCCGGAGAAGAAGCCCCGGCUAACUUCGUGCCAGCAGCCGCGGUAAUACGAGGGGGGCUAGCGUUGUUCGGAAUUACUGGGCGUAAAGCGCACGUAGGCGGAUAUUUAAGUCAGGGGUGAAAUCCCAGAGCUCAACUCUGGAACUGCCUUUGAUACUGUGUAUCUUGAGUAUGGAAGAGGUAAGUGGAAUUCCGAGUGUAGAGGUGAAAUUCGUAGAUAUUCGGAGGACACCAGUGGCGAAGGCGGCUUACUGGUCCAUUACUGACGCUGAGGUGCGAAAGGUGGGAGCAAACAGGAUUAGAUACCCUGGUAGCUCACGACGUAAACGAUGAUGUUAGCCGUCGGGCAGUAUACUG